Symphalangus syndactylus (siamang) is the source of this 3426-nucleotide long non-coding RNA. RefSeq lists it as uncharacterized. The record is from RefSeq and is a predicted model, not a curated record. Lineage: Eukaryota; Metazoa; Chordata; Mammalia; Primates; Hylobatidae.
CUUUGGCAUUCAAGACCUAGGUUUGAGCCUUGUCUCUGCCACUAAGUUGGAUAAAUUAUUCAACCUCUUUGAGCUUCAGGUUAUCUGUAAGUGGGAUAGUAACACCUACCAUGUCUACUUCAUUGAGUCAUUUCAAGGACAAAUGAAAAUAAAUAGGAAAAAGUGCUUUGAGAACUGAAAAUAUUACUCAAAUAUGUAACAUAAAACUCUAAGGAAAGUAAUCCUUUUAUUAAAAAAACUCUUUAGGAGAGUAGUCCUAUUAGUGUUCUAUCGAUACAUUUGUAAUAAAUCCAAAGAAACAGUUAACACAGUGUGAAUGUCUCCUCUGAUUCUGUCCCAUGUAAACAAAUGUACAUAAGUGAGACAAAUUUAUUUAAACUGUAUGCAUUUGUUUGAUCCCACCCUCAAGAAGCAAUUACUGGACUCCCAGAUGAAGAUGGAAGCAAUGAAUACAUCCAUUUACCUCUGUCUCCACCCUAAAGCUUCUUGGUAGGCUGAGGUGGGAGGAUCACUUGAGCCCAGAAAUUGGAGGCUGCAGUGAGCUGUGAUUGCACUACUGCACUCCAGCCUGAACAACGGAGCAAGACCUGUCUCUAAAAACAGAUGCAAGAAAUCUGAAUCUUAAUCCUGAAAUGGAGAAAGCCAAGAAUGUCCUGAUCUAAACCACAGAGCCCUCAAAAGACUCAGAACAACUCACAAGUUCUUGGGAAGCUACUGGAGGAUAUAUGUCAUCCAAACAAGGGAAUCAGCAGUCCUGUAUCUAAGAAGAAACAACUGGAAAUGCUGGGUGCUUGAAUUCUGAUUUUCUUUUAGGCCUCACAUUCUCCUCUGUUAAGUGCAUUCCCAAUCAGCUUCUUUCCUCAGGUUGGAAAGUGGCGGCCAGCAGCUACCAAGGUGCUAUCCUUCCAGAUUCACAUCCUGCAGAAAGAGCAUGAGAUUCCUGGCAGAAGAUUUGAGAUGCACUCAAAGUAUACUGGCUUAAGUCGGGUCUUAAGUCUGGAUGGGAUGCCCCUUUACGUGCUCCCACUGAGUCCCAUACUUCCACCUUCAUAACACUAACAACGCUAGAGUGUGGCAGCUCUCGAAGUCUUGUCCUCCAGCAGCAUCAGUAUCACCUACCUGGACAUUUCAUAGAAAUGCAGAUUCUCUGGCUCCACCCGCAUCCUCUGAAUCAGAAACUGUUGGUGGGUGGGGGAGGGGGGGAGGGUAUGCAAGAUAUCUGUGCUUUAACAAGCCCUCUAGAAGAUUCUGAUGCACUCCCAGCUUGAGAACUCUACUUGCUCUAAUGUGAUUGCCUGUUUACUGUUGGGAUCCCACACCAGAAGUAAGCACCAGGAGGCAGGGCCGCAUCUGUUCCAUUCAACACUGUAUCUGCCAAGCCCACAGUAGGCGCUCUGCUAAUUCUAUGUGGUAGACUUCAAAAGACAAAGGUAAGAAAGAGUGAGAGGGCAAGGCUGGAGACAGCUGCCAAGUGUCACACUUCUGCUUUCCUCCUUCCACUUUCUCCCUCGCACCUCUGGAGUCAGUCACAUUAGAUGCUCCCAUUUCUUUGCUUGUUUGUUUUUUGCAUUGCCGAGGGCUCCAUUACCUUCCAAAUAAAAUGGCCUCUAUAGAAGCAGUGCUGGGGCUCUGCGCAGGCACCUUUAGCCUGAAGAAGCGCCCUGGGACAGGACAUACCCUCACGCAGAGCUGGGGUGAGUGGUGGGCUCUGUGUUAGCGGUGGGAUUUGGCUGAGCUCCUUCAAGUCUAUGUCCCUCUCUGGGGGCUUCCAACAGCUUGUGGUUGGAAGGUGUGUUGACUUCUCCACAGGAAUCUGUAGCACAGCACAGUAAAUGUGUUGAGACAGUAAGUGAGCACACACAGUAAGUGUGAUAAGGGUAGAAGCCAGAUGCCUGCGAGAGAACCAAGGGGACCAGCUGGGGGAGAGGGAGGGUAAGAGCCAGCGACAAACGUUGCAGCAUCAAAGGAAUUCUAAUGGUUCCUUCUGAAUUUUUCUCUCUUCUCCUCCUCUCCCUUCUCCACACUCCAUCCCUACCCCUCUCUCCUUGCUUCUUUUACUGUCCCUGUCUUGAUGUAUCCAUCAUAUGUGGUCAUUUUCUGAUAGGGCAAUGAACCCAAGUAGGAAUUUUUCUUUUUUUUUCUUUUUUUUCUAUGAGACAGGGUUUUGUUCUGUCUCCCAGGCUGGAGUGAAGCGGUGCAAUCUUGGCUCACUGCAACCUCUGCCUCCCAGGUUCAAGUGAUUCUCCUGCCUCAGCCUCCUGAGUAGCUGGGACUAUAGGCAUGCACCACAAUGCCUGGCUAGCUUUUUUAUUUUAGUAGAGAUGGGGUGGGUUUCACCAUGUUGGUCAGGCUGGUCUCAAACUCUUGACCUCGAGUGAUCCACCUACCUCAGCCUCCCAAAGUGCCGUGGUUAUAGGCGUGAGUCACUGCACCCAGCCUCUUUUUCUUUUCUUUAAAUAAAGCAACACAUUCACACAUUCACCGUUCGAGACUGUGAUUUCUGAGGAGCAGGUUUUCCUGUGUGCAUGCAGAGGAGUGACUUUCCCCUUCAUGUCUAGACUGGCAUUUGAAAUGAUAUUCUGGUCUGUUUCUUGCGUGAAUGUGAAAAUUGUCAUCUGUGUUCUCAUAGACAUACUGUGGUCGCCCAUGAGGUGAGAGGGCUUCACUUUGUGACUUCUCCUAAAGGUAGUCUAUAUCCCUGCUGUCAGUCACUGUGAAGACAGUGGCAGUGGUGCUCCAGAGUGGCAGGGGUUAAAGAUAGAGCCUGCCACAGGGAACCAGGUAGAGAGAACGUCCCUCUAAGGGACCCAGAUGAAUGGGGGCAGAUAGGAUCCCAAUUAUUUUCAAAAAUUUGCCAAAUUAUUGAAGUCAGAAGUUGGCAAACUAUGGCUUUUGGGCUUGUUUUUAUAAAUAAAGUUAUAUUGGAACAUGGUCAUGCCCAUUCACUUACAUAAUCUCCAAGGCUGCUUUAGCAAUAUGAUGGCAGUCAAGUAGUUGUGACAGAGUCUUUCUGGCCCAUAAAACCUAAAAUAUUUACUAUCUGGCCCUUUAUAGACAAAAGUUUGCCAUCUUCUGCUCUGAUGGAAGGUUUGUUUCCCCUUUUUAUCACCAGCCUGGUCCUAGCCUGGUUAUGUUUAUAGGGUCCAGCUAGAUUUUAUCUAUGAUAAUGGGCUUCAAACAUUCAUUAUAAACAUUUUAUUUUUUGAGGCAGGUUUCGCUUCUGUUGCCCCGGCAGGGGUGCAGUGGCAUGAUCAUGGCCCACUGCAGCCUCUACCUCCUGGGCUCAAGCCAUCCUCCCAUCCCUUUUUUUACAUUUUUUGUAGAGACAAAUCUCGUUAUGUUUCCCAGGCUGGCCUCGAACUCUUGGGCUGAAGCCAUCCUCCUGCCUUGACCUCCCAAAGUGCUGGGAUUAAAGGCGUCAGCCAC